UACGAAGGGGGCUAGCGUUGCUCGGAAUGACUGGGCGUAAAGGGCGCGUAGGCGGAUUGUACAGUCAGGCGUGAAAUUCCCGGGCUCAACCUGGGGGCUGCGCUUGAGACGUGCGAUCUUGAGUGGGGAAGAGGGUCGUGGAAUUCCCAGUGUAGAGGUGAAAUUCGUAGAUAUUGGGAAGAACACCGGUGGCGAAGGCGGCGACCUGGUCCUUGACUGACGCUGUGGCGCGAAAGCUAGGGGAGCGAACGGG
Molecule: ribosomal RNA, 253 nt
Filed under: uncultured bacterium
Lineage: Bacteria
Description: partial 16S ribosomal RNA
Rfam family: Bacterial small subunit ribosomal RNA
Source: RNAcentral